GACGAACGCUGGCGGCGUGCCUAAUACAUGCAAGUCGAACGCAGUGGGGACGGGUGAGUAACACGUGGGUAACCUCCCAUCAGAGGGGAUAACACUUGGAAACAGGUGCUAAACAGAUAUUGAUGGAUGGACCCGCGGUUCAUUAGCUAGUUGGUGAGGGAACGGUACACCAAGGCCACGAUGCAUAGCCGACCUGAGAGGGUGAUCGGCCACACUGGGACUGACACAAGGCCCAGAAGCCUCCGGGAGGCAGCAGUAGGGAAUCUUCGGAAAUGGACGAAAGUCUGACCGAGCAACGCCGCGUGAGGGAAGAAGGUUUUCGGAUCGUAAAACUCUGUUGUUAGAGCAGCGGUAUCUAACCAGAAAGCAAAGGCUAACUACGUGCCAGCAGCCGCGGUAAUAC
RNAcentral lists this ribosomal RNA (403 nucleotides) under uncultured bacterium. Its description in RNAcentral is "partial 16S ribosomal RNA". It matches the Rfam family "Bacterial small subunit ribosomal RNA", at positions 28 to 526 of the family's 1533-position model. The record is from RNAcentral.